Molecule: transfer-messenger RNA, 354 nt
Filed under: Actinomycetota bacterium
Lineage: Bacteria; Bacillati; Actinomycetota
Rfam family: transfer-messenger RNA
About the family: Bacterial tmRNA, also known as 10Sa RNA or SsrA, is named for its dual tRNA and mRNA-like properties. Its role is to liberate the mRNA from a stalled ribosome.
Source: RNAcentral
GGGGGUGACAUGGUUUCGACUGUGAGGGUUGAGGCGCCGGAAGCGAGCCGAGAUCCCCGGAACCUCGUUAAAGAACCGGGAACAACCAUAAGUGCCGAAGACAACUUCGCACUCGCUGCCUAACUAAGCGGCGUGUCCGCCCGGAGGGUGCCUGCCUCACCGGAAUCGGGCAACGCAAUGCAGGAUGCCCCCGCCGGGGUGCCGGGACCGGCGGGGUAAGACACUUCCGGCUAGGGCCCAGGAGAAAUUGCCGACGGCGUCUCCAGGGUUCCGAAAGCUCGCUGUCGGCUGCGCUCGGAGAUGCCGACGCUAAAACUUCAGAGGACCGGGGUUCGACUCCCCGCACCUCCACAA